This 74-nucleotide transfer RNA is filed under the name Bifidobacterium longum subsp. longum. Its description in RNAcentral is "tRNA-Pro". It matches the Rfam family "tRNA". From Rfam's summary of the family: Transfer RNA (tRNA) molecules are approximately 80 nucleotides in length. Their secondary structure includes four short double-helical elements and three loops (D, anti-codon, and T loops). The record is from RNAcentral. Lineage: Bacteria; Bacillati; Actinomycetota; Actinomycetes; Bifidobacteriales; Bifidobacteriaceae.
CGGGCUGUAGCGCAGCUUGGUAGCGCGCUUCGUUCGGGACGAAGAGGUCGCGGGUUCAAAUCCCGCCAGCCCGA